AGUUUAGCUUUUACUAGUGAUCUUUAGUAUCAGUGUGAGGCCACCACUGAGAAGAACAAAAGUACUGCUGGGCAGUGUAAGAAUGCCCCUCUGAGGGCUGCAUAGGAUCCAAAAGGGUCCAGGCUAGCUGUGCAGCCAAACUCCAAGGACUUAACCUUGACCCCAUCAGAGGCUAUGACUCAGGGGCUAUCUCAAUGUCCUUUGGAAGUCUGGUGGACAUCCAAUUUCUAGGCGUCCUAUUUCUGUGGGAAGCAGCUGUUAUUUCUUUUUAGACAAAACUGAUUAAUCCAUAGGUUCUUUUUUUUUCCUCCCCUGCUCUGUCUGUGUUUGCUCUCUUGCAAGCAGCUGCUUCCUUCUUUGGGCAUUAACCUUGAUGGCAGCUCCCAGACUGAGUGCUAUCGCCUGUCUCUCUCCUUACUCUUGUGUUUUGCUUUGCAGGUCUGGGGAUCUAAGGAGGGCCUCAUAUGUGUUUGACAAGGUCCCUGCCACUAAGCAACACCCUUAGUCCACAGUCUAAAACGCCCCUUCCCCUUAACACACAGAGCUUUGCUGUGAACUUGUUGCUUUCGUGGGAGACUCCCCUUGGGCAGAAGUUCCAUCAGUCUGGCUGGCACAGUGUUUUCUGAGCAGUCUCAAGCAGCCCUCCACAGAGAUGCACGUAGAUUUACACAGGGCGUACACUACGUUCCUGUCACUGUUCUUUUCCCCUAAAAUCAAACUGGAUUAGACUGAAUUUCCCCAAAUACAAGACUUUCCUGUUUCUUAAAACGAAAGAAUGCAGCGACCUGUUCUUAAGUACAAGAAAUAAAAAAGGUAGGGCUAAUUCCCCCCUUCCUCAGUUUACCCCUUGCAUGCAGAGCCCAUGAAUACAGGGGUUUAAAUGGAUUAGUGUUGCGUAGCACAAACACUCCAACCCAGAUGUUGAGCUAAUGGAGUUGUUAAAAUAACCAAUGCAGUAGACUGGGUUACCAAUUGGCCUUACGUAGUUCGUCAAAAGAGUGGUGAAUAUUUAGGGACACAGUAAGGAGAGUCAUUCUCUCUGUCUUCCUCCUCUUCUGUCCCCUCUUCUCCCUCCUCCUCCUUGUCUCUCUCCUCCUCUUCUCCUUCCCUUUCCUGUUUCUCUCCCUUCCCAUGUCUUCCUGUCUUCCUUGUUUUCUCAUAUUCUCUUCUCUUCUGCUGCCUCUUUUACUCAUCAGCAGCUAGCAGGUCAAGACGUAAGCACACAGCCAUGGAUAGCUAUAAGUCCUCCUGAUUUCUGUGGAUACCAAGAUCAUUUUUAAGAUACAGAUUUGUCAAAGUCUUCCCUGCGGCACACUCAAGAACCACAGGGUAACUAUGAAUGUGGCCUAAUACGAAACUAUAAACAGGGAAUAUUAUGAAUCGCUACCCCACCCCCACACACACACACCAACUUUGCUUUGUAACCUGAUUUUGUAGUUCCCAAGUGUGGACUUUGUAGAUGACAUUGCUGAUUUCAUUAUUGUGUCAAAAAGUUGGACACCCUCACUAGUCUGGUAGCUUUUAUGAUAUGGUACUUCUGAAAAUGAUCAGGUAGAAAUUCUUAGGUGUUGAAAUAUAGACUCUGAUUUCUAUGCACCAUCAUGUUUUAUGGAGAGGUUCUUGUUAAAGUAAUCUGGUAAUCUCUGUAUGUGUGUGCACUUACAUUUCAUGCAUGCAUCCGUACUGAUGAAUACCAACCAAGGAUGGUUGUACUGAUAUUUUUGAAAUAAUAUAGUUUGCUCUUGGUACUAAGAAGAAAGAACUGUGUAGCAUUCUAGUUUAAUUUUAGUUGAGCAAAAUUUAAAAUCAGCCUCAGGUUCUUGGUUAUUCGUUAACUCAAACUUAAAAUUAGAAGUGUGGAAAUAACUUGCUUGGCAGUUCGGACUUUCUGAGGGAAACCAUAUCAUGUUGUGUGUGUGUGUGCUUUUAAAAAUAGAUCUCAUAGCAGAGAGAUAGGCUUCCCCAUCUGUAUUCCUGGCUGAUUGCUGCAGAGGUGAGCAGUGGUCUAUCAGACAAGGGCUAUGAGUUCACAGCUCUCCCAAGAGGGCUGCAUACUAGCUGCAGCUGCCUUCAGUUCAUCUUUGGUCAAAGCUCUUUUGUUUUAAGCUAAGUGCCAGAGGGUAAACACUCUUGACCCAGACUGUAAAUAUUUGUCAUACAUCUGGUUAGUUUAGCUUUUAACUGAACAAAAUCAUUUUGGCAGAAGAGUCGUUAAAGUUUGACAACCUACAAAUUACACAAAACCCUGACUUCACAUCCCUCGUUUUCUCACACAGGCGGUGACUGGCUUAUGAAGCGUUUCUUCCCUGGUGUUGAAAAUGCCCUGAAACAUGUAUUCUUAAGCCAAUGAAGCAUAUAAACAUGGAUGAAAAACAUGAGCCAUGUGUAAAUAUGUGUGAUGUCUUCUGUCAGUCCCUUGAGGAUCAUUAAUUGAAUGCUUUUCCAUAUUAAGGGGCUCCGGGAAAUGGCUCUGUGGAGAGUGCUUGCUAUGAAAACCUAAGAACCUAUUCUGGGCCACGUAGGUGGUAGCAAGCCAGUCCCUCUUGCAUUGCCACUUUUGGUAUAAAGUCCCCUCUGCUGUGCUCUGGAACCUCAGAGCCUAUGUGACCGUCCUUGUUCUUGGAAUGCAAGUGUCUAUGACAUGUCAAAGUUCAUUUAUGGAUUGGAAUAUGGCUCAGUGGUAGAAAGAGUUCUUGCAGUGCGUAGUAGAGAGCUAGUGUUCAUGAAGCCUUGAGUUCCAGCCCCAGUCCUCUGGAGAGCAAUGGCAUCAAUUUGUAGCCCAGGAGGAGGGGCUCUGUGGGCUUUGGGAGAAGCCUUGUGUUUGUGAAAAGGCACAGCAGUUCAGAUCUGUCUCUCUAGAUGAGUGAGACAUGAGUAGCAAGAAGACUUUCAAGAUUUGCUAGAGAGGGUCCUGCCUGGGCUGGGCAUUGUGAGUCUGUGAGAAGCUGUGUUGAGGAAAAUGUGGGUUGACCUCACUUUUAGUUGUUCUUUGCUGUGUCUAAUCC
Molecule: long non-coding RNA, 3005 nt
Filed under: Mus musculus (house mouse)
Lineage: Eukaryota; Metazoa; Chordata; Mammalia; Rodentia; Muridae
Description: long non-coding RNA chr18:5005689-5008694
Source: RNAcentral